UCCUUAUUUUUUCGCUUCACUUUAGAGUGCGCUUUUGUAAUAAAGCGCCCUCUAAGGUGCGCUGUCUAUUCCAGUUUUUGGCGUAGUGCAAAAAAAAUUCGAUAAAAUGAUGAAAUAUCUAAAAUAAUAUUUUAAGAAUAACUAUUCAAAUCAAAUUUUCAUUUGAAGCUUUUAUGAGUGAUAUUAAAAUAUAUAACACUAUAACAAUUAUUUAAAA
Molecule: long non-coding RNA, 217 nt
Filed under: Lathyrus oleraceus (garden pea)
Lineage: Eukaryota; Viridiplantae; Streptophyta; Magnoliopsida; Fabales; Fabaceae
Description: Pisum sativum (pea) long non-coding RNA (PSAT_LNC030671)
Source: RNAcentral